RNAcentral lists this ribosomal RNA (481 nucleotides) under uncultured bacterium. RNAcentral's name for it is "bacterial SSU rRNA". It matches the Rfam family "Bacterial small subunit ribosomal RNA", at positions 28 to 526 of the family's 1533-position model. The record is from RNAcentral.
GACGAACGCUGGCGGCGUGCCUAACACAUGCAAGUCGAGCGAGGAGAUCCCUUCGGGGUGAACCUAGCGGCGGACGGGUGAGUAACACGUGGGCAACCUGCCUUGUAGAGGGGAAUAGCCUUCCGAAAGGAAGAUUAAUACCGCAUAACAUUACACUUUCGCAUGAAGGAGUAAUUAAAGGAGCAAUCCGCUACAAGAUGGGCCCGCGGCGCAUUAGCUAGUUGGUGAGGUAACGGCUCACCAAGGCGACGAUGCGUAGCCGACCUGAGAGGGUGAUCGGCCACAUUGGGACUGAGACACGGCCCAAACUCCUACGGGAGGCAGCAGUGGGGAAUAUUGCACAAUGGGCGAAAGCCUGAUGCAGCAACGCCGCGUGAACGAUGAAGGUCUUCGGAUCGUAAAGUUCUGUCUUCAGGGACGAUAAUGACGGUACCUGAGGAGGAAGCCACGGCUAACUACGUGCCAGCAGCCGCCGUAACAC